This 477-nucleotide ribosomal RNA is filed under the name Uperodon taprobanicus (Sri Lankan bullfrog). Its description in RNAcentral is "partial large subunit ribosomal RNA". It matches the Rfam family "Bacterial large subunit ribosomal RNA", at positions 1920 to 2563 of the family's 2925-position model. The record is from RNAcentral. Lineage: Eukaryota; Metazoa; Chordata; Amphibia; Anura; Microhylidae.
AAGUUAAACGGCCGCGGUACCCUAACCGUGCGAAGGUAGCGCAAUCACUUGUUCUUUAAAUGAGGACUAGUAUGAACGGCAUCACGAGGGUUACACUGUCUCCCCCUUCUAAUCAGUGAAACUGACCCCCCCGUGAAGAGGCGGGGAUAAAACUAUAAGACGAGAAGACCCCAUGGAGCUUUAAACUCAGUUUCAAUUGCCCUUUCACACACCAUUUAAACUGGGCAAAUAUGAUUUCUAGUUUUCGGUUGGGGUGACCGCGGAGCAAAACAAAACCUCCACGAUGAAAGAGCCAACCCUCUAAUCAAAGAGCAACAACUCAAAGAAUCAAUAAAUUGACAUUAUUUGAUCCAAUUAUUUUGAUCAACGAACCAAGUUACCCUGGGGAUAACAGCGCAAUCCACUUCAAGAGCUCCUAUCGACAAGUGGGUUUACGACCUCGAUGUUGGAUCAGGGUAUCCCAGUGGUGCAGCCGCU